RNAcentral lists this ribosomal RNA (500 nucleotides) under uncultured Glomeromycotina. RNAcentral describes it as "partial small subunit ribosomal RNA". It matches the Rfam family "Eukaryotic small subunit ribosomal RNA", at positions 591 to 1092 of the family's 1831-position model. Lineage: Eukaryota; Fungi; Glomeromycota. The record is from RNAcentral.
CCAAUAGCGUAUAUUAAAGUUGCUGCAGUUAAAAAGCUCGUAGUUGAAUUUCGGGACCAAUAUGUCGGUCGUGCCUCGGUACGUACUGGCAUCGUUGGUUUCUCCCUUCUGACGAACCAUGAUGUCAUUUAUUUGGUGUCGUGGGGAAUCAGGACUGUUACUUUGAAAAAAUUAGAGUGUUUAAAGCAGGCUCACGCUUGAAUACAUUAGCAUGGAAUAAUGAAAUAUGACGUUUGAUCCUAUUUUGUUGGUUUCUAGGAUCGACGUAAUGAUUAAUAGGGAUAGUUGGGGGCAUUAGUAUUCAAUUGUAAGAGGUGAAAUUCUUUGGAGUUAUUGAAGACUAACUACUGCGAAAGCAUUUGCCAAGGAUGUUUUCAUUAAUCAAGAACGAAAGUUAGGGGAUCGAAGACGAUCAGAUACCGUCGUAGUCUUAACCAUAAACUAUGCCGACUAGGGAUCGGAUGAUGUUAAUUUUUUAAUGACUCAUUCGGCGCCUUACG